Molecule: ribosomal RNA, 782 nt
Filed under: uncultured bacterium
Lineage: Bacteria
Description: bacterial SSU rRNA
Rfam family: Bacterial small subunit ribosomal RNA
Source: RNAcentral
AUUGAACGCUGGCGGCAGGCCUAACACAUGCAAGUCGAGCGGCAGCGACUUAACUGAACUUCGGGGAACGUUAAGGGCGGCGAGCGGCGGACGGGUGAGUAAUGCCUGGGAAUAUGCCUCAGUGUGGGGGAUAACUAUUGGAAACGAUAGCUAAUACCGCAUAAUCUCCGAUCUUUUACGAGAUGGGAGCAAAGCGGGGGACCUUCGGGCCUCGCGCGCUGAGAUUAGCCCAGGUGGGAUUAGCUUGUUGGUGAGGUAAUGGCUCACCAAGGCAACGAUCCCUAGCUGGUCUGAGAGGAUGAUCAGCCACACUGGAACUGAGACACGGUCCAGACUCCUACGGGAGGCAGCAGUGGGGAAUAUUGCACAAUGGGGGAAACCCUGAUGCAGCCAUGCCGCGUGUGUGAAGAAGGCCUUCGGGUUGUAAAGCACUUUCAGUAGGGAGGAAGGUAGUGUAGUUAACACCUGCAUUAUUUGACGUUACCUACAGAAGAAGCACCGGCUAACUCCGUGCCAGCAGCCGCGGUAAUACGGAGGGUGCGAGCGUUAAUCGGAAUUACUGGGCGUAAAGCGCAUGCAGGCGGCCUGUUAAGUCAGAUGUGAAAGCCCGGGGCUUAACCUCGGAAUUGCAUUUGAAACUGGCAGGCUAGAGUCUUGUAGAGGGGGGUAGAAUUUCAGGUGUAGCGGUGAAAUGCGUAGAGAUCUGAAGGAAUACCAGUGGCGAAGGCGGCCCCCUGGACAAAGACUGACGCUCAGAUGCGAAAGCGUGGGGAGCAAACAGG